RNAcentral lists this ribosomal RNA (475 nucleotides) under uncultured bacterium. RNAcentral's name for it is "bacterial SSU rRNA". It matches the Rfam family "Bacterial small subunit ribosomal RNA", at positions 335 to 799 of the family's 1533-position model. The record is from RNAcentral.
ACUCUAACGGGAGGCAGGUCAGUUUGGGAAUAUUGCACAAUGGGCGCAAGCCUGAUGCAGCCAUGCCGCGUGUGUGAAGAAGGCCUUCGGGUUGUAAAGCACUUUCAGUCGUGAGGAAGGUAGUGUAGUUAAUAGCUGCAUUAUUUGACGUUAGCGACAGAAGAAGCACCGGCUAACUCCGUGCCAGCAGCCGCGGUAAUACGGAGGGUGCGAGCGUUAAUCGGAAUUACUGGGCGUAAAGCGCAUGCAGGUGGUUUGUUAAGUCAGAUGUGAAAGCCCGGGGCUCAACCUCGGAAUUGCAUUUGAAACUGGCAGACUAGAGUACUGUAGAGGGGGGGUAGAAUUUCAGGUGUAGCGGUGAAAUGCGUAGAGAUCUGAAGGAAUACCGGUGGCGAAGGCGGCCCCCUGGACAGAUACUGACACUCAGAUGCGAAAGCGUGGGAGCAAACAGGAUUAGAUACCCUGGUAGACAUCA